Molecule: long non-coding RNA, 1385 nt
Organism: Mauremys reevesii (Reeves's turtle)
Lineage: Eukaryota; Metazoa; Chordata; Testudines; Geoemydidae
Exons: 2
Source: RefSeq, a predicted model, not a curated record
CCACUGUCCUCCCUCUCGUUGCAGAGAGACUGUCCUGCGGGAAGCUCGAUGUGACCUGGCCUCCCCCAGCCGUGUCGGAGAGCCCCCAAGAGAAUGGGCUGGACCAGGUGGAGAAAAGCCCCCGGAGCCUUCGCCAGAAAAGUGCCUUAAUCCAGCACUGGGAGUCAGGAGCUGUCAGCAACCAGGAGAGCCGGGAGUAGGGAGCAGCGCUGAGGAGGGAAGGGAGAGAAAAUGGGGGGGGACACAUCCCAGCAUCUCGCAUCCUGCUCCAGAACCUACCCCCCACUUGAUCCUUCCAGGAUCCCACUACUGGAACCACCGUGUGCCCUUCCCACCUACCUGAUUGGACAAAGCUUUAAUGCAUGUGACCACCCAGGCUGCUUUGAUUGGGUGAUGAACUACUUCGCUUCACCUCCUCCCACCCCAGCUUUCUCCAUGGACCAAUCAGGAGAGACCUAGGUGAAACACAUUGUAGUUGAUUAUUUGUUAGAGCAAGCCAAAUCCCAAAUUAAAGGGAUUUUGGAUCCAUGGAAGGAUGAGGCCUUUAAUACUCUGGACUAGGCACUGAUCUGAGCUAUCCCAGUGUGACUCCAGAAUCACUCAAAGGAGGCAGUGUAAAGGCAAUCAGAACCUGGUUCUCUAUUGAACGUAAAACGUGUGGAUCAGAAUCUCCAUCACUUUGAACUCUGGGCUGGGUGGGAUUACUAUUAGUGUGGCCUUGAUUUCCUACAUGUCCUUGUCCAAGUCACUUCACCACUCUGUGCCUCAGUUUCUCUAUCUUUUUAAAUAGUGGGAUGAUAAUGCGUCCCGCGGCAGAAAUCAUGAACAUUUGGCCAAAGCACUAGUACAACUUUGAUCCCAAACGUAGUAAGCCUCAAAUGGUCUCCUCCCCAGAAGCAGUCGCUUCUGAAACAAGCCGAUAGAGUAGAUUGUGCACAGGCAUGAAAUCAUCUUGGGAAGAAGCUACAGGGCGUUUUAAGCGAAAAGGGUUUAAGAAAAAGAAUCAAUAAAUGAAAACAAAAGCACCAAGCGACUUGACUUAUUGCUGCCACGAUUCAAAGUGGAGUAACACAAAGGUGGUCAAGAUUGCGCGGUCACAGCAGGGCCACCCUGUCGGCUUCAUCAACAGUAAUCAGAUUAAUUAGGUUUUAUGUAACGACACUGCCUGAGCCAGCUCAGUGAUUUCCAUGGGCGUUUUGCCUGAGUGAGGACAGACCGGAUCAAGGGGGAGGGGCUGGCUGGGUAGAUGGUAGGAAGAGCUGGGAGGCCCCAUGGCAGAGGUUACUCUGGGAAUUCACCACUGCAGAGGCCUGGAGAGCAGCCCUGUGCUGCUAUAAAAUAGAGCCGCUCCCAGCUGCUCUAAGUGACGCAGACGUCAGGCACCU